Molecule: long non-coding RNA, 440 nt
Organism: Pongo pygmaeus (Bornean orangutan)
Lineage: Eukaryota; Metazoa; Chordata; Mammalia; Primates; Hominidae
Exons: 3
Source: RefSeq, a predicted model, not a curated record
UGUCUGUGGAUCCUUUCUUAUUUCUGUGUUGAAUUCCAGCCUGGGUAUUCGGAACCUAUGGUUAAAGCUGGGGCUACGAGAUGAUGUCUCACAAUGUUGCCCAGGCUGGUCUCGAACUCCUGGACUCAAGUGAUCCUCCCACCUUGGCCUCCCAGUGUACCAGGAUUACAGCUGACUCGUGAACAACACGAGUUUGAACUGCCUGGGCUCACUAAUCCCUGGAUUUUCUUCCACCUCUGCUGCCCCUGAAACAGCAAGAUCAAGCCCUCCUCUUCCUCCUCUUCCUUCUCUUCUUCAGCCUACUCAACCUGAAGAUGACGAGGAUGAAGACCCUCAUGAUGAUCCACUUUCACUUCGUGAACAGUAAAUAGAUUUUCUCUUCCUUAUGAUUUUCUUACUAACAUUUUCUUUUUUCUUGCUUCCUUUAUUGUAAGAAUACA